Molecule: long non-coding RNA, 192 nt
Organism: Etheostoma cragini (Arkansas darter)
Lineage: Eukaryota; Metazoa; Chordata; Actinopteri; Perciformes; Percidae
Exons: 2
Source: RefSeq, a predicted model, not a curated record
CUGUAGAUAUGCGGCCUCGAUGGCUGUCAUCUGGGACGAGGAGGAAGCUUCUAGAACAACUGAAAGAACAUCUCCUUUGUGCUGGAGCUCUGAGAUGAGUGCAGAGUUUCUGGACCACAACUGAGAAGUUCCUUCACUCCAUUCAUGCCUUCUUCAUACCGUACUCAGUAUACUCACAGUAUGGUUUGUCAU